This 2378-nucleotide long non-coding RNA is filed under the name Equus caballus (horse). Its description in RNAcentral is "lncRNA (ENSECAG00000056507.1)". The record is from RNAcentral. Lineage: Eukaryota; Metazoa; Chordata; Mammalia; Perissodactyla; Equidae.
GGAAAGAUUGGCACAGAUGUUAGCUCGGGACCUAUCUUCCUCAAGCAAAAAGAGAAAGGUUGGCAACACAUGUUAGCUCAGGGCCAAUCUCCCUCACCAAAGGAAAAAAAUGGAUUCCAAUCCAAUCCAUCACCAAUCAAAAGUUACACAGAGGCUGUAACUCUUUGUAAAAAACAAAAACAAAACCCAACUAUAUACUGCCCACAGGAGACUCACUUCAGCUUUAAGGACACACAUAGGCUCAAAGUGAGGGUAUGGAAAAAGAUAUUCCAUGCAAGUGCUAUCUAAAAGAAACUGGAGGGUAGCUACACUUAUAUCAGCCCUGCCUUCCACCUCCACAUCUUGUCCCACUGAAAAGUCUUCAGGAGCAACACAAAGACGGAGUUGUCAUCUCCUAUGCCUUCUUCUGGAACACUUCCUGAAGGACCUGCUGAGGCUCUUCUUGAGGAGGUGUACCUCUUUUCAGAAAUAUAUCCAUGGUGGUUUGCUUGGUUUGUUUCUAUUUUCCAUAAUAGAUUUGCCUGUAAGCAGAUAAUGCAUCAUGAACAUUCCUCUCUAUUAAUGAAAACCUUUCCGUGUUGGGGUCUACCUUUUCAAACUCUUUAAGAAGCUUGUUGAGGUCUGCAAAAGCUUCUGCAGAGCCCCUCACUGUGAAUUUUCUUGGGCAUUCUUUUUCUUUUCCUGUAGUUUCCUUUUCUCUUGCUUCUUUUUCAGCUAUGCACUCCUGUUCUGUUUCCAACAACUCCUCAUUAGUCAAUUCCUCUGGAACCACCUCUAGGAGCUCCUUGAUGUCAUCCUCAUCUACAUCCAUGUUAAAGUGUUUGCCAUCUCAACCACAGCAGUGCUGAUUUUUGCAACUUCCUCAUCCAUGGCAAAUCAUUUGAAGUCAUGGACGAACCUCUUUAGUGUCUUCUUCCAGCUGCCAUUCAUACACUUUCUGGUGAUAUCACCCCAACCCCAGCUAGGUUCUUGAUGCAGUCACAGAUGUUGUAAUCUUUCCAGAAUCGAAUCACUGUCUUCUCAGUGCCUUCCUCAAUUGCAGCAAUAGCUUGGGCAAAGGUCCUCCUCAGGUAGUAGCCCUUAAAACCUGCUGUAACUCCUUGAUCCAUUAGUUGGAUCAAAAAGAUGGUGUUUGGAGGGAGAAACACUGCUUUGAUAUUGGGAUGAACAUCACCAAUAAAAGGAGGAUGUCUGGAAGCAUCAUCAACAAUAUGCAAAAUUUUGAAAGGUCAGUCACUUGAUGUGGUCUCUUACUGUCAACAAUACCAGUGAAUUUUGUAAGCUUAGGGGCUAUGAUGAACGAAACAACACAAGAUUAAAUCAAGCACAAGAGAAAAUGAUGCAAUCAAGAAAUGCAGUAAACACGAGAUGUAUGAGGUUGCUGCCGAGACAACAAAAAGGAGCAACCACAUUCCAACAGAAAAUACCCUAAAAGCACAAAAAUCCUCGGAGGGUCAUGGCAGCCACAGGACAGAGGGCGGAGAAGCUGGAGCCCCACUCAGAGGAGCUGGAACAGGGUAAGAGAGAACUUCGCUCCCUCCUCUAAAGACUGCAGUCACUGCCGUGGGAGGUUCCAUGAGGGAAGGAGUGGGGGAGGGGUCGCGAAUCCACAGGAUCAUCCAGGACUCCCUAGGGUCCUUGCAGCCUAGAGGGAAGCCCUCUAAUGGGGCGAAAGCUUUCACACACGGUGACCUUAUCAAACCAAGACCCCAGGAGACCAGAUAGUGAGAGCUGAUCCAGAAACCCGGGACUGCACACAGGAGAAAGCGCCCCUCCCCUGACCCACCUUGCGCCAUCUCGGCUGAAGGCAGAGGGUUCAGAAUAUGCGGCUCUUGACCCCUCAUCCACUGGCGAUAGGCUGUAACUGCAACCAAAUAAUAUCAGAAUGGGAAAGACACAAACUUCCAACAUCAGGUAAUUCCUCACAUCUCCAGACCAGAGAGCAAACAACAAGCACCCAGAACUCAGUCCUGAGGACACAGAAAUAAGCAAACUAAAUGGCAAAGAAUUCAAAAUAGCUAUCAUCAAAAAACUCAAUGAGGUAAAAGAGAACGUAGAGAAACAAUUCAACAAAUUCAGGAGCUACUUCACAAAAGAGAUUGAAACUGUAAAGAAGAAUCAAUCAGAAAUAUUAGAGAUGAAAGACACAACGGAAGAGACGAAACAAAAUACUAUCCACUGAAUGUUUGUGUGGACACCAUAGAGGAGUGAAUCAGCAUAAUCCAAGAUAGACAUGUUGAAAUGCUCCAGACAGAGGAGGAGAGAGAAGUAAGACUAAAAAGAAAUGAAGAAAGUCUCUGAGAAAUAUCCGACUCAAUGAGGAAAUGCAACAUAAGAAUUAUAGGUAUUCAAGAAGGAGAAGAGAAGGAGAAUGGAGC